GGUUUCUUGUAUUUUAUAAGAAAUCUGACCUGCCCACUGAAUAAUUUUUUUGAAGGGCCGCAGUAUUUUGACUGUGCAAAGGUAGCAUAAUCAUUAGUCUUUUAAUUGAAGGCUGGUAUGAAUGGUUGGACGAGGCAUAAGCUAUCUUAUAGUAAUUUUUGUUGAAUUUAGGAUUUAAGUAAAAACACUUAAUUUGUAUUAAGGGACGAGAAGACCCUAUAGAGUUUAAUAUAUGAAUCAUUAAUUAGGUUAUAGUAUGAAAUUUUUAAUUUGUGUAUAGUAUAUUUAAUUGGGGUGAUUAAAAGAUAAAAAAAACUCUUAUUUUUAGUUAAUAAUUUAGUUAAAUUAUGGAUCCAUAAUUAAUGAUCAAAAGAUUAAAUUACCUUAGGGAUAACAGCAUAAUUCUUUUUAAGAGUUCAUAUCGAAAAGAGAGAUUGUGACCUCGAUGUUGGAUUAAGAAAAACUUUGGGUGUAGAUGUUCAAUUGUUAGGUCUGUUCGACCUUUAAUUUCUUACA
Molecule: ribosomal RNA, 516 nt
Filed under: Stenomantis novaeguineae
Lineage: Eukaryota; Metazoa; Arthropoda; Insecta; Mantodea; Liturgusidae
Description: partial 16S ribosomal RNA
Rfam family: Bacterial large subunit ribosomal RNA
Source: RNAcentral